Molecule: ribosomal RNA, 247 nt
Filed under: uncultured Spirochaetaceae bacterium
Lineage: Bacteria; Pseudomonadati; Spirochaetota; Spirochaetia; Spirochaetales; Spirochaetaceae
Description: partial 16S ribosomal RNA
Rfam family: Bacterial small subunit ribosomal RNA
Source: RNAcentral
GUAGGGGGCGAGCGUUGUUCGGAAUUACUGGGCGUAAAGGGCAUGUAGGCGGCCCGGCAAGCCUGGCGUGAAAGACCGCAGCUCAACUGCGGGGAUGCGCUGGGAACUGGUGGGCUUGAGUUACGGAGAGGGAGCUGGAAUUCCUGGUGUAGGGGUGAAAUCUGUAGAGAUCAGGAAGAACACCGAUGGCGAAGGCAAGCUUCUGGCCGAUAACUGACGCUGAGGUGCGAAAGUGUGGGGAUCAAAC